Molecule: microRNA precursor, 63 nt
Filed under: Python bivittatus (Burmese python)
Lineage: Eukaryota; Metazoa; Chordata; Lepidosauria; Squamata; Pythonidae
Description: Pbv-Mir-181-P2c_pre stem-loop
Source: RNAcentral
AACAUUCAUUCUGUCGGUGGGUUGUUAUGCUGGAGGAGAAGCUCACUGAUCAGUGAAUGCAAC